UGCGCAGGCGGAUUAAUAAGUCGGGGGUUAAAUCCAUGUGCUUAACACAUGCACGGCUUCCGAUACUGUUGAUCUAGAGUCUCGAAGAGGAAGGUGGAAUUUCCGGUGUAACGGUGGAAUGUGUAGAUAUCGGAAAGAACACCAGUGGCGAAGGCAGCCUUCUGGUCGAGUACUGACGCUCAUGCACGAAAGCGUGGGGAGUAAACA
This 207-nucleotide ribosomal RNA is filed under the name uncultured Chlorobaculum sp. Its description in RNAcentral is "partial 16S ribosomal RNA". It matches the Rfam family "Bacterial small subunit ribosomal RNA", at positions 568 to 774 of the family's 1533-position model. The record is from RNAcentral. Lineage: Bacteria; Pseudomonadati; Chlorobiota; Chlorobiia; Chlorobiales; Chlorobiaceae.